RNAcentral lists this transfer RNA (82 nucleotides) under Providencia phage vB_PreS_PR1. It matches the Rfam family "tRNA". From Rfam's summary of the family: Transfer RNA (tRNA) molecules are approximately 80 nucleotides in length. Their secondary structure includes four short double-helical elements and three loops (D, anti-codon, and T loops). Further hydrogen bonds mediate the characteristic L-shaped molecular structure. tRNAs have two regions of fundamental functional importance: the anti-codon, which is responsible for specific mRNA codon recognition, and the 3' end, to which the tRNAs corresponding amino acid is attached (by aminoacyl-tRNA synthetases). tRNAs cope with the degeneracy of the genetic code in two manners: having more than one tRNA (with a specific anti-codon) for a particular amino acid; and 'wobble' base-pairing, i.e. permitting non-standard base-pairing at the 3rd anti-codon position. RNAcentral also lists the same sequence under 1 other name. The record is from Rfam by way of RNAcentral. Lineage: Duplodnaviria; Heunggongvirae; Uroviricota; Caudoviricetes; Demerecviridae.
GGGUGGUUAGCUGAGUGGUUUAGCGACGGACUGUUAAUCCGUGUUCGAAAGGACAACGUAGGUUCAAAUCCUACACCGCCCG